This 246-nucleotide unclassified non-coding RNA is filed under the name Hevea brasiliensis (rubber tree). Lineage: Eukaryota; Viridiplantae; Streptophyta; Magnoliopsida; Malpighiales; Euphorbiaceae. The record is from RNAcentral.
UUCUUUGUCCCUCUUUUGAUGGCUUAAGGAUGUUAAUCAGUACUUGGAAGUUCUAGCAUAGAAGUACUGUCUACACCCUUAAGCCAUCAAAAGAGGGACAAAGAACCAAGCACAAGAGCAUCUUAUAUACAUGUCACUGAUCAAAAUAAACCAAUUUGCUGAACAGACUCCAAUACAUUUAUUUUUUUCCCCUUUCUGCACUAUCAGACUCCUUAUCAACUGUGAUGAAUCAGUUAAAAGCGUCAC